RNAcentral lists this ribosomal RNA (497 nucleotides) under uncultured bacterium. Its description in RNAcentral is "partial 16S ribosomal RNA". It matches the Rfam family "Bacterial small subunit ribosomal RNA", at positions 28 to 507 of the family's 1533-position model. The record is from RNAcentral.
GAUGAACGCUGGCGGCGUGCCUAAUACAUGCCAGUCGAGCGAACGGACGAGAAGCUUGCUUUUCUGAUGUUAGCGGCGGACGGGUGAGUAACACGUGGAUAACCUACCUAUAAGACUGGGAUAACUUCGGGAAACCGGAGCUAAUACCGGAUAAUAUUUUGAACCGCAUGGUUCAAAAGUGAAAGACGGUCUUGCUGUCACUUAUAGAUGGAUCCGCGCUGCAUUAGCUAGUUGGUAAGGUAACGGCUUACCAAGGCAACGAUGCAUAGCCGACCUGAGAGGGUGAUCGGCCACACUGGAACUGAGACACGGUCCAGACUCCUACGGGAGGCAGCAGUAGGGAAUCUUCCGCAAUGGGCGAAAGCCUGACGGAGCAACGCCGCGUGAGUGAUGGAGGUCUUCGGAUCGUAAAACUCUGUUAUUAGGGAAGAACAUAUGUGUAAGUAACUGUGCACAUCUUGACGGUACCUAAUCAGAAAGCCACGGCUAACUACGUG